Molecule: transfer RNA, 76 nt
Filed under: Aestuariivita sp.
Lineage: Bacteria; Pseudomonadati; Pseudomonadota; Alphaproteobacteria; Rhodobacterales; Paracoccaceae
Description: tRNA-Trp
Rfam family: tRNA
About the family: Transfer RNA (tRNA) molecules are approximately 80 nucleotides in length.
Source: RNAcentral
GGGGGUAUAGCUCAGUUGGUAGAGCGGCGGUCUCCAAAACCGUAGGUCGAGGGUUCAAGUCCUUCUGCCCCCGCCA